CUGACUAUAAUCCACUUCCUGCUUUCUGCUGGCCAAUCAGAGUGGGUUGUCACAAUAAGCCAAUCAGAAGGCUGGAUCUUCCAACUGUCUCUAAUGUUGAAACAACGUCUUUAUUAUAGUCGCACCAAGUGGUCAGUCUCCCCCUGUCUGUGUCUCUCUGGUCUGUGUUUGUCUGAAUUAACACCCUGUCUGUCUCUCUCUGGUCUGUGUUUGUCUGAAUUAACACCCUGUCUGUCUCUCUCUGGUCUGUGUUUGUCUGAAUUAACACCCUGUCUGUCUGUCUCUCUGGUCUGUUUGUCUGAAUUAACACCCUGUCUGUGUCUCUCUGGUCUGUGUUUGUCUGAAUUAACACCCUGUCUGUGUCUCUCUGGUCUGUUUGUCUGAAUUAACACCCUGUCUGGUCUGUAGUUGGCCAGGUGAGGUGUGGUCUGUAGUUGGCCAGGUGAGGUGUGGUCUGUAGUUGGCCAGGUGAGGUGUUGGUCUGUAGUUGGCCAGGUGAGGUGUGGUCUGUAGUUGGCCAGGUGAGGUGUGGUCUGUAGUUGGCCAGGUGAGGUGUGGUCUGUAGUUCACCAGGUGAGGUGUGGUCUGUAGUUCACCAGGUGAGGUGUGGUCUGUAGUUCACCAGGUGAGGUGUGGUCUGUAGUUCACCAGGUGAGGUGUGGUCUGUAGUUCACCAGGUGAGGUGUGGUCUGUAGUUGGCCAGGUGAGGUGUGUGUAAUGGACAGACUAUCAUGUUCGUACUUCUGCCUUCUUUUUUUUUUUUUUUUUACCUGUUUUUACAUGUGGUUUUCAACAUGGAAGCCUUUCCUCUUGUACAGAACUUUCCAACAUGUUUUUAAAAGUUCAAUAUUCCACAUUUAAUAAAGUCUUGAAAAAAAAGAG
Long non-coding RNA from Oncorhynchus nerka (sockeye salmon), 882 nucleotides. RefSeq lists it as uncharacterized. The transcript is spliced from 2 exons. NCBI's taxonomy places the organism in Eukaryota, Metazoa, Chordata, Actinopteri, Salmoniformes, Salmonidae. The record is from RefSeq and is a predicted model, not a curated record.